AGGCAAUGAUGCAUAGCCGAGUUGAGAGACUGAUCGGCCACAUUGGGACUGAGACACGGCCCAAACUCCUACGGGAGGCAGCAGUAGGGAAUCUUCCACAAUGGACGCAAGUCUGAUGGAGCAACGCCGCGUGAGUGAAGAAGGGUUUCGGCUCGUAAAGCUCUGUUGGUAGUGAAGAAAGAUAGAGGUAGUAACUGGCCUUUAUUUGACGGUAAUUACCUAGAAAGUCACGGCUAACUACGUGCCAGCAGCCGCGGUAAUACGUAGGUGGCAAGCGUUGUCCGGAUUUAUUGGGCGUAAAGCGAGUGCAGGCGGUUCAAUAAGUCUGAUGUGAAAGCCUUCGGCUCAACCGGAGAAUUGCAUCAGAAACUGUUGAACUUGAGUGCAGAAGAGGAGAGUGGAACUCCAUGUGUAGCGGUGGAAUGCGUAGAUAUAUGGAAGAACACCAGUGGCGAAGGCGGCUCUCUGGUCUGCAACUGACGCUGAGGCUCGAAAGCAUGGGUAGCGAACAGGAUUAGAUACCCUGGUAGUCCAUGCCGUAAACGAUGAGUGCUAAGUGUUGGGAGGUUUCCGCCUCUCA
RNAcentral lists this ribosomal RNA (580 nucleotides) under uncultured bacterium. Its description in RNAcentral is "bacterial SSU rRNA". It matches the Rfam family "Bacterial small subunit ribosomal RNA", at positions 271 to 842 of the family's 1533-position model. The record is from RNAcentral.